CCACUUUCUGGCUUCGUCUAUGCGUGAAACCAGAAGAGUCGGUGAUAGAUUGAGGGGCAGCAAUGUGCCGAAGAAAAAGAAGAGUUGUAACACUCGGUUUUACGUGAAGACAUUUCCCAGCAUCUUUUUGGCAUGAUUUCAACACAUUUUGCCAUAUCUGAUGUUCUACAGCUUUCUAUGGUGUUUUUGGUGUUUUCUAGCAGCAGCAAGUGGCGGCUGGUGGCGCUGCAUAGAGGUGCAUGGAGGCACGUACAGUGCUUUGGUGGUUGCAUGUGGU
This 277-nucleotide long non-coding RNA is filed under the name Carica papaya (papaya). RNAcentral describes it as "long non-coding RNA (CPAP_LNC015966)". The record is from RNAcentral. Lineage: Eukaryota; Viridiplantae; Streptophyta; Magnoliopsida; Brassicales; Caricaceae.